UUUUUUUUUCCUCUGAU
Molecule: small RNA, 17 nt
Filed under: Arabidopsis thaliana (thale cress)
Lineage: Eukaryota; Viridiplantae; Streptophyta; Magnoliopsida; Brassicales; Brassicaceae
Description: ATSL068910
Source: RNAcentral